UCAGUUCAUAUUGGAAUCGGAAAUGAAGUGUUUGGACGAUAUCGGAGUUAAUAUCGGACAUCCCUCCUUUUAAGCCGUAUCAAUUUCACUCUGUGUGCUUUUGUCUUUUACUUUUGUGCACUGAUUGAUAUUGAAUGGAUUAUUGUACAAAAAAAAAAAAAAACAACGACGUAGUGAGUGUUUCUGGUUCACUCACCUGAUUUUUAGGCAAAAAAAAAAUCUGGAUUCCUUGAGGCGGAGAAAAAUGGCGGCUUUGUUUUGUAGUGGUUACGAUAGCGUUGUUGUGCUUCGGUUUGUUUCCUUUGUCGUUUUAGUGGCAGAAACCCUAAAUCAGUAACUUAGUUUAGUCGACCAUCAGAUGUUCACAGGUCGAGUUUCAAGUGUUCCAGAACUUUCGACCGAUCUAGGGCAAAUGUAAAUGCUUGAAACCCGACAGACCCACGUAGGCUUUCGUGAUAUGUGAGGCUUUGAAGUCGCUGCGGAGUUCGUUCUUUUCUUAGGUAUAUGUGAGUAAUUUUUUUAAUAUUUUGAAGUUUGAGUAGAGAGGAACACAGUUCUGGUUUGGUGCUGGUCUGGUAAAAAGAAACAGAUUUCAUUUUUAACUUUUAGUAAAAUAGAGUCAUCUGCAUAUACGUUGACAUUUACCGGAACAGACGCCCAUGUUUAUGGAGAAAAUAUUCCAUGGUUCCUUUAAAUCUCUUAAAUAAAAUAGUCUAAAAAAAUCUUCAAUAAGGGGUAGACGCCCCCUAGGGGUCCUCAGAGGUACUGUUGUUGAGGUCGUUGUUGAAUUCCAACCAAUGUAUUCAAACUGGUCAUAUUUUGUUAGGAGUAAAGAUAAUAUUAAAGAUUAAAUUAGCUGUUGUUGGAAAUAUUAUAACAGAACAGUUAGCAUCUGUUUCGGUAAAUUCACUACUCAUAUACGUAUGUCAGCGUCGUCCCCGACUUUCACAUCUGAUGCUAACACACUGUCUUUCUGUUUCUGCGUAGAGAUGUUUGUUGUAUUCUACUGUAAAAGAAUGAAUUUGACGUUUGAUUUUUUUGGUCUUGGCGCUAACAUGACAGAGAGGAGUACGCAGGUCCCGAAAGUACUGGAGGUACUUGGACAAAUGUAACGGUAAACUGUAUUAUUGUAUAUAGCAGAUGUUUAAACAGAGAUUUAUGCAAGUGGUUCAGGAGGCAGUCGUUGAUGGACUUUGUGACAAAUUCUUAGUUUCAUAGAGUUUUCGGACGACAUUUUUUUUAUGUCACUAUUAUCCUGAACAUCUCGUUCUACAGUGUUAAAGAUGAGAGAGAUGAACGGGCAGGAUUUAGCACCCAAAACAAGCUAACUCAUCUACAAAAUAAUGAGGUCGUUCAUCUGGUUACACUCGUCGUAACGUAGAAUUGAUAAAAAUGUCUGUCACAAAAAUUAUAAAAACUAAUGGCGGUUCAAGUUAGUUUGGACAAACAGUUGACGGUUUAAACACCAAUUUUUGUGGCUUUUGGUAUUUUUUUCGAAUCAAUUUGAAUUUACGUAGCGUUUGUCCGUGUUAGCGUCCAAAUAUCGGCUGCUCAUAUUAAGCAAAAUUAAUAUUUAAGUGAUACCCGGAGAGGUUACGAAUUUUAGCAGUCAAACUUGGCAAUGACUGUUUCUAAGUUCGGCUAAGUUGAGGAACGUUAGCUGUUUACGUAGACAAUGAUAGCAGCAGGUCCUAGUAGCGGCUAGUCCAGCCAAAAUAUUAGCCUAGUUUGGCUAUGGUUAAGCUAAGUUUAACCUUGAAGAAGCAGAAACGUUUAGCUACGAUAGAGGUGAAAAGUUUGCUUUGACUGCUGCUCACUUAAUAUCUGACAUUAGCUACGUAGCUUUAGGUGUGACAGCAAUUAAAGUUGGCUAUGACGGCUACUUUGUUAGCAGUUGAGUUGGGCUACGUUAGCUGCUACGACAGCUGCUAUGCUUGGAUUUGGUUGCUGCUAAAUCAUUUGCCGCUAAAUACGGAAAUGGUUGUUUUCUUUUGGGGAUUAGGGACGACAAAGGUAUCACUAAUUUUAGCAAAGUGAAGCAACAAAUCUGAUUUAGGCGCUAACCUCAGCCUGAGACACGAAGUAAAAUCGGUCACUGACGUGUUGUUUGACGACGUCUACAAACAGAGAGGGAUUUCUGAACAGUUCUAACCCUGCGUUUUCACCGUUAAUGUUUAUAUUUGACAAAAAUGGAAAUUAGAAGAAAGUACAUUUUGAGGUUGAACUUUUAUGAACCUUUUUUUCCCUGUAAAUUCUUUGGUAAACUGUAUUUUUCAGACGUUACCAAAGGAGAUAAGAGCCAUAAACUAAGACAAAAACAAUAAAACGUAAAGAUGCAAAACACAGAGUAAUAACAAACACGGCCAAAUAACCAAACAAGAGUCUUUGAAUUAUGAAUUAAAGAUGUAGAAAAACUGCGAUAUGAUGCACAGACGAAAUACCAUAAGUACGGUAUGUGUACUUUUUAGCACUUUUACGUAUAAAACCUACCAGAAACUAUAACAACGACGAGCAGAAUAAAAUGCAAAGAUGCCGUUGAAUCUUUGGAUUCUCUAAAUGUGCAGGACUUAAAGCCAGAAACCUUUUAUUUUGUGGGAAUUAAAGCUCUUACAUUUGAAAAAAAAAAAAAAGUACCAGCAGUCAAACAAAAAUGUACAUUUACCAAAAAAAAAAUAAUAAAGGAACAUUUCUGACUUCGUAGUAGUACUUCGAAAGUUCAAAAUACCAAUGGUGUAUUUUAUUUUUAAUCUCCAUAUUUUUUGUGCUGGUGCAAUUUUCAGGGAUACAUGGAGCACUGGGGUAAAAUAAUAAAUCUGGGGGCGGGGGCCUUGUUAUGGACAGGACUUCUAAAGAAUAUUUUCUACAACCUGUGACAAAUAUUUGACAUGAAUACUAUGAGUUUUUUUUUAUUUGUCUCAUUCCUGAGUCCAGUUCUGCUCCUGACGUGUUUGUCUGUGGAUACUGUGGGACAGGAAGUGGAGUGUGUAUCGGUACCUGGUACCGAUGGUGUGUUGACUCAUACUCCGUGUACAAACUCAUGUUCAUGCUAACAUCUUGUAUCGACUCCAUAUAAAAAGAGGGCAGCGUUUUCUCAGAAGGGUCACGUGCAACAUCGAGCUGUUUUAACGGUUAGCGGCGGGAAGCUAACAGUUAAGCGAUGGACUGACUGUAACGUAGUUUUCUCCGUCCGUUUUCUCUGCCGUUUGAGCCAUGUGAUGAUGCUGCGACGUCGUGACCACGCUGAUGCUGAUGGUGGUGAUGAUAAUGAUGAUGUCAUGAUUUACCCAGCCUGCCUGAGGGCCCCACACCUGACCGCUGGCUGGGAGGGUCACUGUUGGGUGAGGGUGGGGGGGAAGGGGGUCACAGUGACAACUUUGAAUGCUGUUGGAUGUAGUUAUGCAGAAAAAAAAUUAACACAUUUUUGGUGAAUUUGAAACAAUAAAGACAAUAAAAAUUA
This is a long non-coding RNA of Cynoglossus semilaevis (tongue sole), 3457 nucleotides long. RefSeq lists it as uncharacterized. The transcript is spliced from 2 exons. NCBI's taxonomy places the organism in Eukaryota, Metazoa, Chordata, Actinopteri, Pleuronectiformes, Cynoglossidae. The record is from RefSeq and is a predicted model, not a curated record.